Molecule: ribosomal RNA, 601 nt
Filed under: uncultured bacterium
Lineage: Bacteria
Description: bacterial SSU rRNA
Rfam family: Bacterial small subunit ribosomal RNA
Source: RNAcentral
UAACUGACGCUGAGGCACGAAAGCGUGGGUAGCAAACAGGAUUAGAUACCCUGGUAGUCCACGCUGUAAACGAUGAUUACUAGGUGUGGGGGGUCUGACCCCUUCCGUGCCGGAGUUAACACAAUAAGUAAUCCACCUGGGGAGUACGACCGCAAGGUUGAAACUCAAAGGAAUUGACGGGGGCCCGCACAAGCAGUGGAGUAUGUGGUUUAAUUCGAAGCAACGCGAAGAACCUUACCAGGUCUUGACAUCGAGUGACGAAUCUAGAGAUAGAUUUUUCCUUCGGGACACGAAGACAGGUGGUGCAUGGUUGUCGUCAGCUCGUGUCGUGAGAUGUUGGGUUAAGUCCCGCAACGAGCGCAACCCUUGCUAUUAGUUGCUACGCAAGAGCACUCUAAUAGGACUGCCGUUGACAAAACGGAGGAAGGUGGGGACGACGUCAAAUCAUCAUGCCCCUUAUGACCUGGGCUACACACGUACUACAAUGGAUGUUAACAGAGGGAAGCAAAAUAGCGAUAUGGAGCAAACCCCUAAAAGCAUUCCCAGUUCAGAUUGCAGGCUGCAACUCGCCUGUAUGAAGUUGGAAUUGCUAGUAAUCGCG